Molecule: long non-coding RNA, 397 nt
Organism: Brienomyrus brachyistius
Lineage: Eukaryota; Metazoa; Chordata; Actinopteri; Osteoglossiformes; Mormyridae
Exons: 3
Source: RefSeq, a predicted model, not a curated record
CAGCCGCAGCGGACGGAGCGCGUCUGCAAACAGACGGGAGGAUACGGGACCCGCUCCUGCUCUGAAAUGCACUAACCGUACGCAUCAAAUACAAAAACGGACUAUCUAUUCUUAAGCUUAUAACUGCUUAUUUUAAUGCUUUGCGGAUCUCCUGGGGGGAAAGCAGUGGGAAAAAGCUCUCCAGCUGUGGCUGCCGGGUGUUCUCACGCCCCCUUGUGGAUCCUCGGAGGAUCGCGUCGCCGGAGAUGCGGGGGGGGAGUAUCCAGGAGCACCAUGACUGCGUUGUGAGUGGAUGUCCCAAAACCUGUGCGCUCAAGGCUACCCCUCCCCGGACUUGGUGGCUGGCGUGAGGGGGGGGAUGAGCAGCUUGGCGUUGGUCGACAAGAAGGAGAAUCAC